Molecule: ribosomal RNA, 440 nt
Filed under: uncultured bacterium
Lineage: Bacteria
Description: partial 16S ribosomal RNA
Rfam family: Bacterial small subunit ribosomal RNA
Source: RNAcentral
CCUACGGGAGGCAGCAGUGGGGAAUAUUGCACAAUGGGGGAAAGCCUGAUGCAGCUACGCCGCGUGCGUGAAGAAGUAUUUCGGUAUGUAAAGCUCUAUCAGCAGGGGAGAAAAUGACGGUACCUGAUUAAGAAGCCCCGGCUAACUACGUUCCAGCCGCCGAGGUAAGACGUAGGGAGCAAGCGUUAUCCGGAUUUACUGGGUGUAAAGGGAGCGUAGACGGCAGCACAAGUCUGGAGUGAAAUGCCGGGGCUUAACCCCGGAACUGCUGUGGAAACUGUGCAGCUAGAGUGCAGGAGAGGUAAGUGGAAUUCCUAGUGUAGCGGUGAAAUGCGUAGAUAUGAGGAGGAACCCCAGUGGCGAAGGCGGCUUACUGUACUGUAACUGACGUUGAGGCUCGAAAGCGUGGGGUGCGAACAGGAUUAGAUACCCGGGUAGUC